AUUGAACGCUGGCGGAAUGCUUUACACAUGCAAGUCGAACGGGAGCACGGACUUCGGUCUGGUGGCGAGUGGCGAACGGGUGAGUAAUGUAUCGGAACGUGCCCAGUCGUGGGGGAUAACGUAGUGAAAAUUACGCUAAUACCGCAUACGAUCUAUGGAUGAAAGCGGGGGAUCGCAAGACCUCGCGCGAUAGGAGCGGCCGAUAUCAGAUUAGGUAGUUGGUGGGGUAAAGGCCCACCAAGCCAACGAUCUGUAGCUGGUCUGAGAGGACGACCAGCCACACUGGAACUGAGACACGGUCCAGACUCCUACGGGAGGCAGCAGUGGGGAAUUUUGGACAAUGGGCGCAAGCCUGAUCCAGCCAUUCCGCGUGCAGGAUGAAGGCCCUCGGGUUGUAAACUGCUUUUGUACAGAACGAAAGGGUUUCUACUAAUACUAGGAGCUCAUGACGGUACUGUAAGAAUAAGCACCGGCUAACUACGUGCCAGCAGCCGCAGUAA
RNAcentral lists this ribosomal RNA (500 nucleotides) under uncultured bacterium. RNAcentral describes it as "partial 16S ribosomal RNA". It matches the Rfam family "Bacterial small subunit ribosomal RNA", at positions 30 to 523 of the family's 1533-position model. The record is from RNAcentral.